GGAUUGUGGCUCAGCGGUAGAGCACUUGUCUAGCAUGUGCAAGGUCCUGGGUUUGAUCCUCAGCACCA
RNAcentral lists this transfer RNA (68 nucleotides) under Marmota monax (woodchuck). Its description in RNAcentral is "tRNA.Ala". Lineage: Eukaryota; Metazoa; Chordata; Mammalia; Rodentia; Sciuridae. The record is from RNAcentral.